ACUGAACGCUGGCGGCAUGCCUUACACAUGCAAGUCGAACGGUAACAGGUCUUCGGAUGCUGACGAGUGGCGAACGGGUGAGUAAUACAUCGGAACGUGCCUAGUAGUGGGGGAUAACUACUCGAAAGAGUGGCUAAUACCGCAUGAGAUCUACGGAUGAAAGCAGGGGAUCGCAAGACCUUGUGCUACUAGAGCGGCCGAUGGCAGAUUAGGUAGUUGGUGGGAUAAAAGCUUACCAAGCCGACGAUCUGUAGCUGGUCUGAGAGGACGAUCAGCCACACUGGGACUGAGACACGGCCCAGACUCCUACGGGAGGCAGAAGUGGGGAAUUUUGGACAAUGGGCGCAAGCCUGAUCCAGCAAUGCCGCGUGCAGGAUGAAGGCCUUCGGGUUGUAAACUGCUCUUGUACGGAACGAAAAGCCCCGGGUUAAUACCCUGGGGUCAUGACGGUACCGUAAGAAUAAGCACCGGCUAACUACGUGCCAGCAGCCGCAGUAA
This 498-nucleotide ribosomal RNA is filed under the name uncultured bacterium. Its description in RNAcentral is "partial 16S ribosomal RNA". It matches the Rfam family "Bacterial small subunit ribosomal RNA", at positions 30 to 523 of the family's 1533-position model. The record is from RNAcentral.